AGUGAACGCUGGCGGUAGGCCUAACACAUGCAAGUCGAACGGCAGCACAGUAAGAGCUUGCUCUUACGGGUGGCGAGUGGCGGACGGGUGAGGCAUACAUCGGAAUCUACUUUUUCGUGGGGGAUAACGUAGGGAAACUUACGCUACUACCGCAUACGUCCUACGGGUGAAAGCAGGGGAUCUUCGGACCUUGCGCGAUUGAAUGAGCCGAUGUCGGAUUAGCUAGUUGGCGGGGUAAAGGCCCACCAAGGCGACGAUCCGUAGCUGGUCUGAGAGGAUGAUCAGCCACACUGGAACUGAGACACGGUCCAGACUCCUACGGGAGGCAGCAGUGGGGAAUAUUGGACAAUGGGCGCAAGCCUGAUCCAGCCAUACCGCGUGGGUGAAGAAGGCCUUCGGGUUGUAAAGCCCUUUUGUUGGGAAAGAAAAGCAGCAGGUGAAUACCCCGCUGUUCUGACGGUACCCAAAGAAUAAGCACCGGCUAACUUCGUG
RNAcentral lists this ribosomal RNA (492 nucleotides) under uncultured bacterium. RNAcentral describes it as "partial 16S ribosomal RNA". It matches the Rfam family "Bacterial small subunit ribosomal RNA", at positions 29 to 507 of the family's 1533-position model. The record is from RNAcentral.